CCUACGGGGGGCAGCAGUGAGGAAUAUUGGUCAAUGGGCGCGAGCCUGAACCAGCCAAGUAGCGUGAAGGAUGACUGCCCUACGGGUUGUAAACUUCUUUUAUAAAGGAAUAAAGUGAGGCACGUGUGCCUUUUUGUAUGUACUUUAUGAAUAAGGAUCGGCUAACUCCGUGCCAGCAGCCGCGGUAAUACGGAGGAUCCGAGCGUUAUCCGGAUUUAUUGGGUUUAAAGGGAGCGUAGGUGGGUGGUUAAGUCAGUUGUGAAAGUUUGCGGCUCAACCGUAAAAUUGCAGUUGAUACUGGCUGUCUUGAGUGCAGGUGAGGUAGGCGGAAUUCGUGGUGUAGCGGUGAAAUGCUUAGAUAUCACGAAGAACUCCGAUUGCGAAGGCAGCUUACUAAACUGCCACUGACAUUGAUGCUCGAAAGUGUGGGUAUCAAACAGGAUUAGAUACCCGUGUAGUC
RNAcentral lists this ribosomal RNA (460 nucleotides) under uncultured bacterium. RNAcentral describes it as "partial 16S ribosomal RNA". It matches the Rfam family "Bacterial small subunit ribosomal RNA", at positions 338 to 795 of the family's 1533-position model. The record is from RNAcentral.